GAAAGUAAACAAGGGCGCAUGGAGGAUGCCUAGGCUCUCGGAGGCGAAGAAGGACGUGAUAAGCUGCGAAAAGUUACGGUAAGGCGCAAAUAGCCCUAGACCCGUAAAUAUCCGAAUGGGGCAACCCGGCCAGCAAUGGCCAUACCGCCAAGCGGUAAGCCAACGCGGGGAACUGAAACAUCUAAGUACCCGCAGGAAAAGAAAAUAACAAUGAUUCCGCCAGUAGUGGCGAGCGAACGCGGAACAGCCCAAACCACCCGUGUUACGGCACGGGUGGGGUAGAAGGAUCCACGAUACGGCAAGAAAUAAGUUAGCAGAAUACGAUGGAAAUCGUAGCCAAAGACGGUGACAGCCCGGUACGCGAAAACCGACAGAAGCCCAGUGGACACCUGAGUAACCCAGGACACGAGAAAUCCGGGGCGAAUCAGCGGGGCCCAUCCCGUAAGGCUAAAUACUCCCGAGAGACCGAUAGCGAACCAGUACUGUGAAGGAAAGGUGAAAAGAACCUCGAACAGAGGAGUGAAAGAGACCCUGAAACCAUGCGCCUACAAGCGGUCGGAGCAUGUUAAAAUGUGACGGCGUGCCUUUUGCAUAAUGAACCUACGAGUUACUCUCGCUGGCAAGGUUAAGCGAUUCAGUCGCGCAGCCGAAGCGAAAGCAAGUCCGAACAAGGCGUACAGUCAGCGGGAGUAGACGCGAAACCAAGUGAUCUACCCUUGGUCAGGUUGAAGGUUGGGUAACACCAACUGGAGGACCGCACCGAUAAGCGUUGAAAAGCUUACGGAUGAACUGAGGGUAGGAGUGAAAGGCCAAUCAAACUUGGAGAUAGCUCGUACUCCCCGAAAUGCAUUUAGGUGCAGCCUCGAAGCAGAGUGAUAGAGGUAGAGCGACUGAUAAGAUGCGAGGGCUUCACCGCCUAUCAAGUCUUGACAAACUCCGAAUACUAUCACUUGAUCUUUGGGAGUGAGGGCAUGGGUGCUAAGGUCCAUGUCCGAAAGAGGAACAACUCAGACCACCGGCUAAGGUCCCGAAAUAAGGGCUAAGUUGAAUAAACGAAGUAAAACUGCAAAGACAGCUAGGAUGUUGGCUUGGAAGCAGCCAUUCAUUUAAAGAGUGCGUAACAGCUCACUAGUCGAGGAGUUUUGCAUGGAUAAUAAUCGGGCAUAAGCCCUUUACCGAAGCUGUGGAUGUCGUAAGACAUGGUAGGGGAGCAUUCCGGCGGCGACGAAGGCCGUCCUCGAGGACGACUGGAGCUUUCGGAAAAGCAAAUGUAGGUAUAAGUAACGAUAAAGGGGGCGUGAAACCCCCUCGCCAUAAGACUAAGGAUUCCUGAUCAACGCUAAUCGGAUCAGGGUAAGUCGGGCCCUAAGGCGCAGCCGAACGGCGUAGCCGAUGGAAGAAACGGUAAAGAUUCCGUUACUGGAUAUAGGAGCGAUGUGGAGACGGAGAAGUGACACACCCGCCUGCCGACGGAAGCGCAGGUUAAAGGAAGUAGGUAAACGCCGGGCAGGCAAAUCCGCCCAGCGUGCCGAAGCUGACAGUAUCGAGAGCCCCCGGGCAAUCGAAUAGCGGUGGUAAUCAGGCUCCCAAGAAAAUCCGCUAAGCAAAUUCUAUAUCCACCCGUACCCCAAACGGACACACGUAGUCGGGUAGAAUAUACCAAGGCGCUCGAAAGACUCACGGUUAAGGAACUAGGCAAAUUGACCCUGUAACCUCGGGAAAAAGGGUCCCCAGUAAGAUGGGGCGCAGAGAAUAGGUCCAGGCAACUGUUUAACAAAAACACAGGGCUGUGCAAAAUUUCAAGAUGAAGUAUACAGCCUGACACCUGCCCGGUGCCGGAAGGUUAAGAGGAGAGCUAAUCGCAAGAGAAGGCUUGAAUUGAAGCCCCGGUAAACGGCGGCCGUAACUAUAACGGUCCUAAGGUAGCGAAAUUCCUUGUCGGGUAAGUUCCG
Molecule: ribosomal RNA, 1952 nt
Filed under: human gut metagenome
Description: bacterial LSU rRNA
Rfam family: Bacterial large subunit ribosomal RNA
Source: RNAcentral